GGCAGGGCGGAGGCAACUGGAGUGCCGUGAGUAGAGAGGCUAAGACUGGCCAAGAGGGUCAGCACCAGUCCCAAGAGCACCUGUCCCCAGCUGAUGAGAAGGUACCAUACUGCCUCAAGUCAGCUUCUCUCUAGGCGAUGUUUUCUCCAAGGCCGAUUUGUAGGGUGUUAAAGAGGCCUCUCUCCUGGAGUCAUGGAUCUGGACGCUAAGGCAAUUUCCCCAUCGUGGCGGCUUUAAUUGGACCAGGCUUCCUAAACAGCGUCAUUUCCCCCUCGACCAGCCCUCUCUGUGCACACAUUUAGAAAAGAGGAAGCGGGUUCAAGGGAGGGCAUUGGGAGAAAAAAAACAAAAAAAAAACCGCCUGUUGGAGAAACGGAGCUCUGAGAACUCAUCCUAAGUAGAGCAAAUAGCAGGAGGCAUGUGGAAAACUGAUUAGUGAGGAACAAAGCAGACGUUUAUUGCCCAGAGGUAGAAAGUUCACUAAUCUUCCUGCGAAACCUCUGUUUUCAUUUCCUUCUCAACUAACCUCCCUCUGGACCAAAUUUAUCACCUGUCUUAAGCUUCCAAUUGCUACAGAAACCAAAGAAGUCCAAGGACUAUGAAUGGAAUCUCAUGGGAAUUGAUCUCCCCAUUCCGCCCUGA
This 642-nucleotide long non-coding RNA is filed under the name Sus scrofa (pig). RNAcentral's name for it is "lncRNA (ENSSSCG00060014586.1)". The record is from RNAcentral. Lineage: Eukaryota; Metazoa; Chordata; Mammalia; Artiodactyla; Suidae.